CUGCGAAUGGCUCAUUAAAUCAGUUAUCGUUUAUUUGAUAGUACCUACCAACUACUUGGAUAACCGUGGUAAUUCUAGAGCUAAUACAUGCUAAAAACCCCGACUUCGGGAGGGGUGUAUUUAUUAGAUAAAAAACCAAUGCCCCUCGGGGCUUCUUGGUGAUUCAUGAUAACUUAACGGAUCGCAUGGCCUUGCGCCGGCGACGGUUCAUUCAAAUUUCUGCCCUAUCAACUUUCGAUGGUAAGGUAUUGGCUUACCAUGGUUUCAACGGGUAACGGGGAAUUAGGGUUCGAUUCCGGAGAGGGAGCCUGAGAAACGGCUACCACAUCCAAGGAAGGCAGCAGGCGCGCAAAUUACCCAAUCCCGACACGGGGAGGUAGUGACAAUAAAUACUGAUACAGGGCUCUUUUGGGUCUUGUAAUCGGAAUGAGUACAAUUUAAACCCCUUAACGAGGAACAAUUGGAGGGCAAGUCUGGUGCCAGCAGCCGCGGUAAUUCCAGCUCCAAUAGCGUAUAUUAAAGUUGUUGCAGUUAAAAAGCUCGUAGUUGAACCUUGGGCCUGGCUGGCCGGUCCGCCUCACCGCGUGUACUGGUCCGGCCGGGCCUUUCCUUCUGGAGAACCGCAUGCCCUUCACUGGGUGUGCCGGGGAACCAGGACUUUUACUUUGAAAAAAUUAGAGUGUUCAAAGCAGGCCUUUGCUCGAAUACGUUAGCAUGGAAUAAUAGAAUAGGACGUGCGGUCCUAUUUUGUUGGUUUCUAGGACCGCCGUAAUGAUUAAUAGGGAUAGUCGGGGGCAUCAGUAUUCAAUUGUCAGAGGUGAAAUUCUUGGAUUUAUUGAAGACUAACUACUGCGAAAGCAUUUGCCAAGGAUGUUUUCAUUAAUCAGUGAACGAAAGUUAGGGGAUCGAAGACGAUCAGAUACCGUCGUAGUCUUAACCGUAAACUAUGCCGACUAGGGAUCGGGCGAUGUUUCUAUCUUGACUCGCUCGGCACCUUACGAGAAAUCAAA
This 1010-nucleotide ribosomal RNA is filed under the name Tetraploa bambusae. RNAcentral describes it as "SSU rRNA". It matches the Rfam family "Eukaryotic small subunit ribosomal RNA", at positions 87 to 1102 of the family's 1831-position model. Lineage: Eukaryota; Fungi; Ascomycota; Dothideomycetes; Pleosporales; Tetraplosphaeriaceae. The record is from RNAcentral.